AGCGGGAGAGCGCUCGAGAAGUGCGUUGGCUUUUCUCUUUUUCGCAAAGUUCGCUUUGAACUUGACUAAAAGAAUUGUUGUUGCUGUUUUGUUCUUGUUUUUCUUUGUUAUUCUACUUUUUUGUUUGUGCGAGCAACGCACUGCCUUUGUUUUGUAUGUGGACAUUUUUGGAUGGAAAGAGAGGGAAGAGGAUCGCGGUAGCAGCGUUGCCACCUGGCAAAGUAAAGUGCAGCUGUCAGCUGUUGGUUACCGUUCGCCAUCUCUAUCCAUCUCGUUCACUCUCACACACACAGAUGCACACGGUCAAGGCCAAGUUUUAAAGGGAGCGGUCGGCGGUGGAUAGUGGGGGAGGAACGGGUCUGUUCAUAACCUUCAAACGUUUAGUUCUAGUUUUUUAGGUUAUGUAUUCAACAGCCUCUGAAAUGCAACUAUUUCAACUCAAUAAAAAAAAUAUAGUAAAAUAAAAACAAAUAUACAAAGCAGCACGCACACAAGCACAUUGAGUUCGACCGUAUAUAAAGCUCACACAAUUACACACACACCAACAAAGAACAGCUGAUGACGUUUGUUAUUUUGUGCGCGUCGCUUAUUUUUUACGGCGCCCCUCUGUACGUGUGAGUGUAUGUGAGCUCCCCAUAUCCGCAACUCAUCCGUAUUCACACAUACACACUUAGUGGCCUCUCUCCAAAAACAAUAACAAAGUAACCGUUUGACGAGUGGGACGGAAUACUGCAGCCCUCUCUGUUGCACCUGCUGCACUCGCUCAGCUGUUUUGGCUUUGUUCUUGUUGUUACGGAGAAAAUCGCACAGAGAGCAGUUCAUUUUUUGAAAGGGGAUUUGAAGAAUAUGUUAAUAAACUGGUCGAAGUGGAGGAUCAAGAUGGCAGUACACCCCAAAGACCAGAAGUAUCUUGGCCGCCUAUAUGGACUGCUGUGGACCUAUCUGACCAACCGUAGGUAGCGAAGGUAGCUUUCCCGGCUUCAGUCUGAAUUAGUCCAUCAGCCAAUAGCUUGGUAGGAAUGUCUGGGCAGAAAGACAAAGAAAUUUAGCACCCAUUCUGAAACAGGAAUGCUCAACUUUCAGGCUCUUGGGGCACCACGAAUCCAACUAAUGACUGGGUGGAAGGUCAUGAUCUGCAACUCCAUGCCAACACUCGUUUUCCAACUGCUUUCGCCCGACAGACAUCGCUGCGAGAUUCGAUUUCCAGAAGCAGAGGAUCUCUUCUUGGAACAGCUUGCUGGAGAUGGAGGAACUGCUGCUCCAAGGAAAAGGGGGUUUGACGCUCGCUAUCUUAUUUUUUCAGCCUCCCCUCACAUCGUCUUCUACAAUCGGAAACCCAAUACUGCUUCCGUCUAAAGUAUGUAUCAACAUUGAGAUCGUUUCCGUCUCGAAAACAAGAAGAUUUCUUCCCAUGAGAAUGAUUGAUACCACUGAGUACGCUUCUCCAACUUUUCUGUGAGUAUAUUUUUUGAUAUAAUAUAAUUUUAUGUUACGUUAAGCAACCAAUUAAAUGGCAACAAACAUAACAUGGAAACACAACAGCAAUGAUGAAUUUGAAUUUGGAAAUUUGGCUAGUUUUAAGCACUCGCGUUUUUUGCCUCCCUCUUUUCGAGUCACUUGUUGGAGUCUGACAACGUACCCCCCAUUUGGAUGCAGUUCUAAUCUAUCGACAUGGGAUGGUAGGAAUUAUCCUGUGCCAAGAUCUUGAUGCUAGACAUGUUGAGGAAUCCAUACACACGGACAAUACUUGAGUAUGGGUCAAACUAGGGAUACUUGAAGUUGUAAGGAUAUCUGAAGGAUAUGAAUGCUUAACUAUUGUAACUGGAUGGACUCGGCUAGCGAUUCCCAUCAAGAACACAAAUACAACUUUAUGGACUAGAAGAAAAUGCAUAAGACGGUCUGGCUUACAAAUUGUAUAAAAAGCAUAUUUAUGUAUUCAUAGAGGAUUAUAUUGGGUUAAAAAAGUCUUCAUAUACAUAAUAAAAGAGAUUUCACAUUUUGGUUUUUGUUUCAUCCGUUAAAGGAGUGCACUUUCAAGCGAGUAGCCUGCUAAACCGAACUUCCGCAACCGGGCCAUGGGAGCCCGGAACCGCCUAGGAAGGUAUCACUGUUUAUUCAAUCAGAUCGUGCUUAGGAAUCGGGCGGCCCUGGAGGACAGUGGACCAUGGAGGUCAAGAAGGAUCGGAAGGGCAGGCUGUCGCGCACAUAUAGUAUAACCUAAAUAAAUUGCUCGCUUUGAGACUACACAGAUAAGGGUAAGGUAAACAGACAAAAAUGAAUCAACAUACAAUAUAAAUCGGAUUGGAUUCGCUUAGCCUAGAUGCAUAGUACAAUAAUAAUCCAUUGUUAAUCGCGUCUAAAUACAUAGUAGGAAUACAGUU
This is a long non-coding RNA of Drosophila simulans, 2381 nucleotides long. RefSeq lists it as uncharacterized. The transcript is spliced from 3 exons. Lineage: Eukaryota; Metazoa; Arthropoda; Insecta; Diptera; Drosophilidae. The record is from RefSeq and is a predicted model, not a curated record.